UCUCUCUUCUUUCUCCCCCGUUUCUCUCUCUUCUUUCUGUCCUCUUGCUCUGUCGAAUCUAUCUUCUUUCUCUCUCGAUUCUCUCUUGUUGCUCUGUCGAUUCUCUCUUCUUUCUCUCUCGGUUCUCUCUUCUUUAUAGCAAUGUCACAAAAUUCAGGGAUUAUGGAUGAAAAUGUUAUUUCUAAUUGCGGUAAUUCUUGUAAUGUAAGAACUUCGAGGACAAUUAACAACCCAGGUCGUAGAUUUUAUUGGUUCCAAGAUGUCAAAAGAUAAGGUGGACGUGGUUAUUUUAAAUGGAUUGAUUCUUCUCCAGAGGUUGAGCUUCUGAAGGAGAAGCUUAAAGAGGUUGAAGAAAAAAGGGAUAUAUUGAAACACAAAAUGAAGGAACUUGGAGGCAAGAUUGAUUCAUUGAAACAAAAAUUGGAGGAAACAAAGCAAAAGAGGGACUGUCAAAAGCCAAAUUCAAUAGGCUUGUGAUUGUUCUUUUAUGUUUAUUAGUUGCAAAAAAUUUCAUUGGUAUUGUCUAAUUGUAUCGUACUGUUAUGUUGCUACUGUAGUAGUUACCCCAAUGUAGUAGUGUUUUGGAUAUUAGAUUUUGUGAAUUAGUUGG
Molecule: long non-coding RNA, 610 nt
Organism: Lycium barbarum (goji berry)
Lineage: Eukaryota; Viridiplantae; Streptophyta; Magnoliopsida; Solanales; Solanaceae
Exons: 2
Source: RefSeq, a predicted model, not a curated record